This 258-nucleotide ribosomal RNA is filed under the name uncultured Glomeromycotina. RNAcentral describes it as "partial large subunit ribosomal RNA". Lineage: Eukaryota; Fungi; Glomeromycota. The record is from RNAcentral.
CAGUCGUACCGACGGGAAUUCAACUUCUUGAGUGCUUGUCGUAGGUGAUGUUGAGCUUCACGGCCUUCGUUGCUUUCGUUAUAGUACUUUUGUUGUGUACUUUUCCGUAUGGUAGGUCAAUAUCGAUUUUGAUCGUCAUAAAAUGAUCGGAGGAAUGUGGCUUCGGUCUUGUAUCGGAGUGUUAUAGCCUUUGGUAGAUGUGACGAUUGGGAUCGAGGAUUGCAACGAAUACCCCUUGGGCUAUCCGUCUGACCUCUG